GUGAAGAUUUGGAUUUGAUAUCACAGAUCCAGUGCUCAGUGGUAUUGUCCCGCCAAGUGAAAGAGGUAGGCCCGAGCAAGGAAAAAUCAAAAUAAGAUCUCCAGGUCCUACACGACCACCACCACCAUCUCAGCGCCUCCCUCUGGCGGCCUGCAGAAUGGAGAGAAGGUGGAGAAAAUGGCCCUCUACUCAGAAGAAGACAUUCGUCCUGAAAUGAAAGAUGACUUUCGCGACCCCAACUAUGAGGAUGAGGAGGGUCCUGUGCCCAAGCUGGAGUUUGUCUGGAGAAACGUCAUUCUGAUGGCUCUGCUGCAUGUGUCAGCCCUGUACGGGUUAACACUAGUUCCCACCUGCAAGUUCUAUACCUGGCUGUGGGUGUUUUUCUACCUCGUGACCAGUGUCCUGGGCAUCACAGCAGGAGUUCAUCGCCUGUUGAGUCACCGAACUUACAAAGCCAGGCUGCCUCUGAAGAUCUUCCUGAUCAUCGCCAUCACAAGGGUGUUCCAGGUGAGAAGUUGGCACUGCACGGCUCUAUUAUCUC
Molecule: long non-coding RNA, 541 nt
Filed under: Fukomys damarensis (Damara mole-rat)
Lineage: Eukaryota; Metazoa; Chordata; Mammalia; Rodentia; Bathyergidae
Description: lncRNA (ENSFDAG00000023275.1)
Source: RNAcentral